RNAcentral lists this unclassified non-coding RNA (335 nucleotides) under soil metagenome. RNAcentral describes it as "partial contains 5.8S ribosomal RNA, internal transcribed spacer 2, and large subunit ribosomal RNA". The stretch from base 1 to 120 matches the Rfam family "5.8S ribosomal RNA", at positions 35 to 154 of the family's 154-position model. The record is from RNAcentral.
GAUGAAGAACGUAGCGAAAUGCGAUAAGUAAUGUGAAUUGCAGAAUUCAGUGAAUCAUCGAAUCUUUGAACGCACAUUGCGCCCGCCAGUAUUCUGGCGGGCAUGCCUGUUCGAGCGUCAUUUCAACCAUCAAGCCCCCGGCUUGUGUUGGGGACCUGCGGCUGCCGCAGGCCCUGAAAACCAGUGGCUGGCUCGCUAGUCACUCCGAGCGUAGUAAUACAUCUCGCUCAGGGCGUGCUGCGGGUUCCGGCCGUUAAAAAGCCUUAUUUACCCAAGGUUGACCUCGGAUCAGGUAGGAAGACCCGCUGAACUUAAGCAUAUCAAUAAGCGGAGGA